This 72-nucleotide transfer RNA is filed under the name Nephromyces sp. ex Molgula occidentalis. RNAcentral's name for it is "tRNA-Val". It matches the Rfam family "tRNA". From Rfam's summary of the family: Transfer RNA (tRNA) molecules are approximately 80 nucleotides in length. Their secondary structure includes four short double-helical elements and three loops (D, anti-codon, and T loops). The record is from RNAcentral. Lineage: Eukaryota; Apicomplexa; Aconoidasida; Nephromycida.
AGGUAGUUAGCUUAGUGGUAAAGCUUCUGCUUUACAAGCAAAAGAUCAUUGGUUCAAUUCCAAUACUGCCUA